Neltuma alba is the source of this 738-nucleotide long non-coding RNA. RefSeq lists it as uncharacterized. Lineage: Eukaryota; Viridiplantae; Streptophyta; Magnoliopsida; Fabales; Fabaceae. The transcript has 3 exons. The record is from RefSeq and is a predicted model, not a curated record.
ACCAUCGAAGGUGAUGAUGUGGUGGAGUCUCUACCUGAACCAGGACUACUCCCAAGUUCUCUUUCUUCUCUUGACAUCAGAAACUGUUCCAAUCUCAGAAUGUUGGACUACAAGGCUCUUUGUCAAUCGCCCUCCCUCAAAUAUUUGAUUAUAAUGUAUUGUUCGAGACUCCAAAGCUUACCCAAGGGGAGCCUCCCCAGUUCCCUUUCUUACCUUCGAAUACUGCGAUCUUGUCCAACGCUUAAACAAGGAUGCCAGAAACCAGAAGGGGAAGACUGGGAAGAGAUUACUCACAUCCCUUAAUUACAUUCAUAUUUAGCAGCCAAUCCUCAGUUUCUCUUUGCAUGACUGCCUGACAACAAGAUUCCCAUUAUAACACUAAGGACUUAUUUAACAGUAUUACAUACUUAUUUAUACUGAUAGAUGAUCGCUGCGCACUUUACAAAGAGACUUGAGUAAGCAGAGCUGAAAAAGGAAAGAAGCUGUUGAUGAUCCCAUCAUGGAAUUGUUCUUAGGCUUGAACAUUUGGAGAGUGUCCACAAUUUGAAUAAUUUUUCGCAUUUGUAUCAAUGAUCAGUUUGUGAAGGGAAAGUGACAAAAUUAUUGUAUUGUCUGGCCACCUUCUAAGUUCUAUCUUUUGAUGCGCAACUGUUUCUUUCUGUUUGCAAAAUUAUGUUUGUCAAACACAAGUGUAGAAAUAAAACUCUGGGGGAAAAACCAGAACUUCAUUUGCUCAAA